Long non-coding RNA from Chinchilla lanigera (long-tailed chinchilla), 799 nucleotides. RefSeq lists it as uncharacterized. The transcript has 2 exons. NCBI's taxonomy places the organism in Eukaryota, Metazoa, Chordata, Mammalia, Rodentia, Chinchillidae. The record is from RefSeq and is a predicted model, not a curated record.
GUAAGUAUGGCUCUUGCGCUCAUGGAGCUUUUGCUGCCAUCGUGGAGACGGUGCACAUGUAGAGAUGAAAUGUAAUUAUAUUUCAUCGUAAGUGGUGGAAUCACCUGAGGGGCUGAGCAAGAAAAAUGUGGGAACCCAUUUUAGACUAUGUGGCCAGGAAAGGGUUUUCUGAGGAAGAAACACUUAUUGAGGCUGGAAAGAGAAAGAGCUGAAAGUAAAGGGAGAGGGCAGGAGUUCCAGGCAUCCUGACAUGCUGGGGCUUGAGAAAGGGGACGUUCUAGGUGUGGAGGGUCCCAAGUGAGGCGGGUGGGACUGGCGCGAUGGGAAAGGGAAGAACCCUGGGAUGGGGUGGGAGAGGCAGGCGGGGCUUCCCAGGGCAGGGUUAGGGUCUCCUUUUGGGUACAGGGAGGUGCAGGGGUGAGGCUGAAUCUGAUGUCUGUCUUGGAUCACUCUGGACAUAGGGAUUCGUUUGGAAGGUGCCAUCUGGGUGACAGACGGCAGGCAGCAGCCCUGGAGAGGAAGCUCCACCACAUGUCCCAGUCACUUUGGGGGCAGAGUCUCACGAACUGCCGACGGAGCUCUUCGUGGUCCCUCCCUCUUGCUGCAGUCAGCGCAUCUGCUUCCUGGGCCUGCUGUGGAGCUGGUCUGUCCUCUGCUCUCCCUUCUGUGUCCAUAGUCACAGCCUGUCAGCUGCCCUCGGGCAGUACGCACUCCAUAACCAGUCACUAAAUUAGAUCCAAUGGGGGAAGGCUGGGUGGUUGCCAGAGGACACAAAUAAUUAAACUUGUUAGUUCUUAAA